This 292-nucleotide ribosomal RNA is filed under the name uncultured bacterium. RNAcentral's name for it is "partial 16S ribosomal RNA". It matches the Rfam family "Bacterial small subunit ribosomal RNA", at positions 505 to 796 of the family's 1533-position model. The record is from RNAcentral.
GUGCCAGCAGCCGCGGUAAAACGUAGGAGACGAGCGUUAUCCGGAUUUACUGGGCGUAAAGCGCGUGCAGGCGGCUUGGCAAGUUGGAUGUGAAAUCUCCCGGCUCAACUGGGAGGGGUCGUUCAAAACUACCGAGCUAGAGGAUGGUAGAGGAAGGUGGAAUUCCCGGUGUAGUGGUGAAAUGCGUAGAUAUCGGGAGGAACACCAGUGGCGAAAGCGGCCUUCUGGACCAUUCCUGACGCUCAGACGCGAAAGCUAGGGGAGCGAACGGGAUUAGAUACCCCCGUAGUCC